This 163-nucleotide ribosomal RNA is filed under the name uncultured bacterium. RNAcentral's name for it is "partial 16S rRNA". It matches the Rfam family "Bacterial small subunit ribosomal RNA", at positions 354 to 511 of the family's 1533-position model. The record is from RNAcentral.
GUGGGGAAUAUUGCACAAUGGGCGCAAGCCUGAUGCAGCCAUGCCGCGUGUGUGAAGAAGGCCUUGGUUGUAAAGCACUUUCAGCGGGGAGGAAGGCGGUGAGGUUAAUAACCUCAUCGAUUGACGUUACCCGCAGAAGAAGCACCGGCUAACUCCGCGCCAG